GAUGAACGCUGGCGGCGUUCCUAAUACAUGCAAGUCGAGCGAACAGACGAGGAGCUUGCUCCUCUGACGUUAGCGGCGGACGGGUGAUUAACACGUGGAUAACCUACCUAUAAGACUGGGAUAACUUCGGGAAACCGGAGCUAAUACCGGAUAAUAUAUUUAACCGCAUGGUUCAAUAGUGAAAGACGGUUUUGCUGUCACUUAUUGAUGGAUCCGCGCCGCAUUAGCUAGUUGGUAAGGUAACGGCUUACCAAGGCAACGAUGCGUAGCCGACCUGAGAGGGUGAUCGGCCACACUGGAACUGAGACACGGUCCAGACUCCUACGGGAGGCAGCAGUAGGGAAUCUUCCGCAAAGGGCGAAAGCCUGACGGAGCAACGCCGCGUGAGUGAUGAAGGUCUUCGGAUCGUAAAACUCUGUUAUUAGGGAAGAACAAAUGUGUAAGUAACUAUGCACGUCUUGACGGUACCUAAUCAGAAAGCCACGGCUAACUACGUG
RNAcentral lists this ribosomal RNA (497 nucleotides) under uncultured bacterium. RNAcentral describes it as "partial 16S ribosomal RNA". It matches the Rfam family "Bacterial small subunit ribosomal RNA", at positions 28 to 507 of the family's 1533-position model. The record is from RNAcentral.